Long non-coding RNA from Plutella xylostella (diamondback moth), 1126 nucleotides. RefSeq lists it as uncharacterized. The record is from RefSeq and is a predicted model, not a curated record. Lineage: Eukaryota; Metazoa; Arthropoda; Insecta; Lepidoptera; Plutellidae.
CACCAUUAUUUUUGUAACUUAACAUUUCGUUUAUUGUUUACAUUCUGUUUGUUUACUUUGUUAGUCUUGUCAAGUAUCAGCUGUCAAAUUCGACACACAGGAUAGAUUUUCAGUUGUUGUCUGUGGUCCUUUGAGAAAACUCGUGCUAGAUCGUCAUCGGACAGUGGUCAGUGGCGACAUGACGCUCAGAACAAUGAUCGUGCUGACUGGCCACAGAGUAGUUUUGUGACGAUGAGCUGACAUCCCCGGUGACGGCUUUUUUCGGAACUGGCAAGGAGGCAAACCAUUCUCUGUCAGAACGUCUCGAGUCUCGAGUAAAUGUGUGGUUAGAUUUUUCUUCCCGCCCGCGUGGCGCAGGCCGUAUUGGUACCAAGUUCCUUGCUUCAUAUUUCCUGUUACCAGAUACGUGCCACAGACACCCACGCAGCAUCACACCAUGUGUACCUAACCUGAAUUGCCGACAAUUUCAAUCCUGCCCGGUGAAGCGUGCGAUUGCCAGACGCGUGUCACCUGACCCAACCCCAAGAAGGUGUCGUUGGUGACCAGAGCCGUCAGCGAGCCACGAGCCGUCCGGAGCUCCUGUCCUGGCCCCGUCCGACAGUCCAGGUUGGCCGUUGUAUGUUCAUUGAGCGGAUACUGAGGAAUUUCCUUAGGAUUUCUAUUAAUCUUCAGCGGCAUCAGCCUUCUAACGCCGCUGCUGAAUGUAGGAUUGCAAAGGCAGAACCCGGGUGGACUUUAGCGGGUUAAAACCUUUAUUUUAUUUUUUUUACUUCGUAGGGAGCCCCGUUAGAACGGGCAGUAGUAUCAAAAUUGCACUUUGAACCUUUUGUAGGCGCUAGGCUAUCAACGUCCUUCGGUUACGGGGCCUUAACGUUAAACUGCUAUCCCAUUGAAGUAAUAUAGAAGUUUCUCUGGGGUUAAUACCAUCUUUCUAUCCCUGUGGCGUGAAACACAGGGGUAGAACCUUUGGUUUCCCCACUUUAAUGUAAUUUCCUUGCAAUACCUUGUAUACUUCAACCAGACUAUUAUAAGGACUUAAUCCCUGGUCUCAUUUUAGACCUAUUUGAGUUAUAAAAUAUUGUGUGAGGCAGGGUUUUGAUAAAUAAAUAUUAAUAACUGUACCACA